This is a long non-coding RNA of Cyprinus carpio (common carp), 406 nucleotides long. RefSeq lists it as uncharacterized. Lineage: Eukaryota; Metazoa; Chordata; Actinopteri; Cypriniformes; Cyprinidae. The transcript has 4 exons. The record is from RefSeq and is a predicted model, not a curated record.
UUUUGCCUUUGUUACAGUAACUUAAGUAAGAUAAGGAAUCCUUUAAUCAUAAUCUGUUUUUCAUUAGGACACUUGACUGGUUACUCGCCGCAGCAGUUUCUGGAUGAAAGGUGUCGAGCUCGUCAAGUACUAAGCUUUACACCCCCAGCAGCAAAUUUACCCUGGCAGCAUAUGUGAAAACGCUGGAGGAGAAAGUCAUCGCUCUGUAAUUGGCCCUUGGACUCCCCUGGCAUCUCAUGUACAGCAUGAAGUUUUCAGCUAUGAAGAUUUCCAGAGACUCCAGAAUGAAAAACAAGCCGUGAUGGAGGAGAACCAAGCCCUUAGGGAGGAGAACCAAGCCCUUAGGGAGGAGAACCAAGCCCUUAGGGAGGAGAACCAAGCUCUGAGGGAUUGUUUUUCACGAGCA